UGGAGCUCCACUCUCGAACCGGAAAUACGUCACCUCCACUUGAAAACAUCAAGAUGGCGUCGCCGUGAGUUCUUCAAACUUAAACUCAGGGAUAGGAUUGGCAUGGAAGAUGCAGCACUCUUUACAUUUUAAAUGUAUAUUGCGACCCUAGAAGUCAAAGUCUUUUUACAUGUUACAUUAACAUGUACAUAUUAUUUUUUUUCUAUUUUGUUGUUCUAUUAUUCUAUUGUUUGACUUUUUUGUUUCGGAUCAAAUGUAUAUCAAGUGUUAUCCAUCCUCAUAACACCUCCACAAAUAGAGACUGGAACUUCUGAGCACCAUCACCUUGUCUGCUUUGGGACUGUCGUAGGUGAAUGAUGCCGUACUUUUCUGUGUUGAAUUUACAUAACGUCAGUACACAGACAUAGUUUUGUUCCAGUUUUGCUGUACUCAUGUCUUCUUUGUGUCCCCAGGCCAGCAAUCAGAUGCAUCAGAACAACAAAGCACAACUGUGGUAGCCCAGGCACCUUCAGCAACAAGAAAAUUGCUUUAACAUUACUGACAAUGCAAUGUCAGUAUUGUGAUUAAACUUGACCCAUCUGAUGUAAUUGUUCAUGCCAGAGAUUUAACAUCAUUGUCAGUCAGGAGCAUAUUUAACAGGAGGCACACUUCAGCUGGCUUGAUAGUAAGUUCAGUGCAGUGAAGAUAUUUAAAGAGACACUAUCACUAUCUAAUCUACAGAAAGCCGUACAUCAUCUCUAGGUGCAGUCGCCUACAGUGCAGCCAGCUUCACAAAGACUGUGGGGCUGGUUACCAGAAAAAU
Long non-coding RNA from Carassius carassius (crucian carp), 802 nucleotides. RefSeq lists it as uncharacterized. The transcript has 3 exons. Lineage: Eukaryota; Metazoa; Chordata; Actinopteri; Cypriniformes; Cyprinidae. The record is from RefSeq and is a predicted model, not a curated record.